RNAcentral lists this ribosomal RNA (253 nucleotides) under uncultured bacterium. Its description in RNAcentral is "partial 16S ribosomal RNA". It matches the Rfam family "Bacterial small subunit ribosomal RNA", at positions 524 to 776 of the family's 1533-position model. The record is from RNAcentral.
UACGGAGGGUGCAAGCGUUGUUCGGAAUUAUUGGGCGUAAAGGGCGCGUAGGUGGCGGGACAAGCGUGCGGUGAAAGCCUGGGGCUCAACCCCGGGUCGGCCGUGCGAACUGUUUUGCUUGAGCACUGUAGAGGCAGGCGGAAUUCCGGGUGUAGCGGUGGAAUGCGUAGAGAUCCGGAAGAACACCGGUGGCGAAGGCGGCCUGCUGGGCAGUAGCUGACACUGAGGCGCGACAGCGUGGGGAGCAAACAGG